Long non-coding RNA from Triticum aestivum (bread wheat), 1814 nucleotides. RefSeq lists it as uncharacterized. The transcript has 12 exons. NCBI's taxonomy places the organism in Eukaryota, Viridiplantae, Streptophyta, Magnoliopsida, Poales, Poaceae. The record is from RefSeq and is a predicted model, not a curated record.
UCUUGACUGGAGUCAAGCCUCGAGUGCUGACCCGUCGUCGUCUUCUCCGCCUGUCCGCAAGCCCGUGUGGACUCGCCAUGGAGGAGGCAACGGAGCCUCACCACCCGGUCCUGCAGGGGGUUCUAGACGGCAACCUCCGCCUCCUCAAAGAGAUGGCGGGCGUCGUGGCGGACGACGGCAUCUGGUCGCGCGCGCUGGUUCUGGCGGCCAUGGAGGGGCGGCUGGACGUCUGCCGGUGCCUCGUCGAGGACCUCCGCGUCGACGUCAACCAGCGCACCUUCUCAGGUGAUACAGCUCUGGCAUUUCUGCAUCUUAUGGGACAGCUGCUAUCACAAAAUAUCUUCUAGAUCGUGGCGCUGAUCCAACUUUAGUUGGUGCCCUGUGGCCACCUCUUCAUGGCGCUGCAAUGAAUGGUUCUUGGUACUACUGUCUUCGAACAUUUUCAAGCUUAAGAAAUGGCAAACUAAAGUUUAUCAGUGCAACGGACAAGCUGGGAAACUUUAUGAUGCUAUCACCAAUUCAUUUUGAGCAUACAUAUAUAGUAGUUUUUUAUUCUUGGUGAUCAAAAUGCGGAUGACUUAAGGACCCCAUUGCAUGCUGCCGCUGCUGUUGGUCAAGGUGGCGCGGUGAAUAUUUUGUUGGAGCAUCAUGCAGAUGUAAGUCACCACUUUCUCGGGGUUCUCUCCUUGGCCGCGCAAAAGGAAAUCCUAGGCCCUAAGCGACUGUGUCUCCAGUCCGUAACUAUCAUGCAUUGGAAUGAGAAAUGCCUAAUCAGAUUCUCAACCUUCAUAGCACCCCGCUAAAUCUGUCCAUACUUUCCAAAUCGCUGGAAUGUGUGAAGCUACUCAUUAAAGCUGGUGCUGAUGUGAAUAAAAUUGACCAUAGUGGUUAUACUUACCUGAUGGUAGCUGCGGACAUUGGCUUACCUGGUAUCAUGAAGUGCUUACUAGAUGCUGGUGCUAACCCCGAUAUUCCUGAUCCAUUUGGUACAACUGCAAUUGAAAUUGCUGCCCUCGGAGGCAGAAGGGAUAUGGUUGAGAUGUUAUUUCCUUUAGCUUCUACCAUUUCAACGUUGCCGGAUUGGAGUGUUGAUGGAAUUAUUUGUCAUGUGAAAUCAUGUGGUUUGAAGCCGAAGGAUAUACAUCUAUGUGUAAAGAAAAGAGCUGAACUGCAAUUGCAAGCUACAGAGGCUUUAAGAGAAAGGAAUAUAUGAUAGCGGCAGAGCUAUAUACUUGUGCAAUGAAUUUUGAGCCAAGUGCAGAAGAUCUUGCAAUCCUCCUAGCAAAUAGGAGUUUCUGUCUGCUGCGCUCGGGAAGAGGAAAAGACGCUCUCUCCGAUGCUACUAGGUGCACAAUGUUGCGACCUCGCUGGCCCAAAGGUUACUAUCGACUAGGGGCAGCCUUAAUGUUUCUAGAGGACUAUGAAGACGCGUCUCGGGCGUUUGCGGAUGGCUUGGAACUGGAUCCUGCAAAUGCUGUCAUUGCAAAUGCUCUAAGGGAAGCCCAAGAGGCAGUGAAGAACCCUCCUUGCACCGGAGAGCUGGGGUGCCUUAGCCCACUUGGGAUCAGACGUUCCUGGUGAAGUUGAGGCUCUCUUCUGUUGCUAUCUCCAGGGUAUGCAUGCCUGUUAUUCUCUUUUGGAGCCGUCCCAAGAAUGCAAAUGUCUUGUGCUAUUGUGGACUUCAUGGGGUACUGACUGAUGGUGUGGUGUAAAUAUGGCUGAAUGCACUCGAUCUGUAGUACUAGUAUUUUUUUUUUGCGAACACGCAAAAGACUUGCGUGUCGAUAUAUUAGAGCGAGAAGGAUUUACAAGGU